AGAGUUUGAUCCUGGCUCAGAUUGAACGCUGGCGGCAUGCUUUACACAUGCAAGUCGAACGGCAGCAUAGGUGCUUGCACCUGAUGGCGAGUGGCGGACGGGUGAGUAAUGCAUCGGGACGUGUCCGGAAGAGGGGGAUAACUGUUCGAAAGAACAGCUAAUACCGCAUAAUAUCCGAGGAAGAAAGCUGGGGACCUUAGGGCCUGGCGCUUACGGGGCGACCGAUGUCUGAUUAGCUAGUUGGUGGGGUAACAGCCUACCAAGGCGACGAUCAGUAGCUGGUCUGAGAGGACGACCAGCCACACUGGGACUGAGAAACGGCCCAGACUCCUACGGGAGGCAGCAGUGGGGAAUUUUGGACAAUGGGGGCAACCCUGAUCCAGCAAUGCCGCGUGUCUGAAGAAGGCCUUCGGGUUGUAAAGGACUUUUGUUGGGGAGCAAGGUGCACAGGUUAAGAGCUAGUGUACUUGAGAGUACCCAAAGAAUAAGGACCGGCUAACUACGUGCCAGCAGCCGCGGUAAUACGUAGGGUCCAAGCGUUAAUCGGAAUUACUGGGCGUAAAGAGUGCGCAGGCGGCUUUGUAAGCUUGAUGUGAAAUCCCCGGGCUCAACCUGGGAACUGCAUUGAGGACUGCAAGGCUAGAGUGUAGCAGAGGGGGGUAGAAUUCCACGUGUAGCGGUGAAAUGCGUAGA
Molecule: ribosomal RNA, 693 nt
Filed under: uncultured bacterium
Lineage: Bacteria
Description: bacterial SSU rRNA
Rfam family: Bacterial small subunit ribosomal RNA
Source: RNAcentral